This is a long non-coding RNA of Pollicipes pollicipes, 388 nucleotides long. RefSeq lists it as uncharacterized. Lineage: Eukaryota; Metazoa; Arthropoda; Thecostraca; Pollicipedomorpha; Pollicipedidae. The transcript is spliced from 4 exons. The record is from RefSeq and is a predicted model, not a curated record.
CGAAAAGCCCCAGGAGUGUCACGGCCAUUCUGAAGGCCCCGGAUGGGAGGGAUUCAGUGACGGAGCGUCCGUGUGAGAGUUGCAAGCUUCUGGUGAAGCUAAGACAGGAAAAAACAAAUUGGUUUGGUGUUUGCCCUUUUGAGGCCAAUGUUGGUUUUGAACAUUGAGGUGCAAUGGAAGCUCUCAAGAACGAGUUUAGAGGCGUGCUGGAUGGCGAAGUCAUCGAUGCGAUAUUCGAAGGCUGUUCCGGAGAUGUGGCUGCGGCCCGGAGGACCCUGUCCGAGAUGAUGAACGACAUGCUGACUGAGGCGAACCGCCCGCCCCCGCCCCCGCCCUUGGCGCCGGCGCCAACACCGCCGCCGACGCCGACGCCGACGCCGACGCCGAC